CUGGAGGCCUUCACUGUCAGCUUGGAUGAGGCUCUGAGUAAACUGAUCUAGAUGAAGAUGUCCCUGCUCAUUGAGGGGGUUGGACUAGGUGACCUUUAGAGGUCCCUUCUAACCCAAACCAUUC
Molecule: long non-coding RNA, 124 nt
Organism: Athene cunicularia (burrowing owl)
Lineage: Eukaryota; Metazoa; Chordata; Aves; Strigiformes; Strigidae
Exons: 3
Source: RefSeq, a predicted model, not a curated record